AUGAAUGAACGAAGGAGGGAAGGAAGGAAGGAAGGAACCAGCCUCACAGAACAGGGAGGUUUAGAGAAUCCCGGCAAAACAAGAGGCGCCUUGCUAGCCAGGUGGCUCAUCUGUAAAGUGGGUGGCAGCACCGUGAGGACCCGGCCAGGUGACCAAUCACAUGCAAGGUUUGCUGGAGUCACGAGCUGGUCACCGCCGCUGGUCCUGUCCCCUGGGUGCAGGAGACACGUAGGUAGGGGACCCGUGUGCCUGUGAGAACAGAGCAGACAGGAAGCCGGAGGGGACGGCAGACAGGAACCCGGAGGGGACGGCAG
RNAcentral lists this small RNA (314 nucleotides) under Pongo abelii (Sumatran orangutan). RNAcentral's name for it is "sense intronic". The record is from RNAcentral. Lineage: Eukaryota; Metazoa; Chordata; Mammalia; Primates; Hominidae.